UACGAAGGGUGCAAGCGUUAUUCGGAAUCAUUGGGCGUAAAGCGCGCGCAGGCGGAUCAGCAAGUCAGAUGUGAAAUCUCAGGGCUCAACCCUGAAACUGCGUCUGAAACUGCUAGUCUAGAGUGUCGGAGGGGGGUAGGGGAAUUUCACGUGUAGGGGUAAAAUCCGUAGAGAUGUGAAGGAACACCGGGGGCGAAGGCGCCUACCUGGACGACUACUGACGCUGAGGCGCGAAAGCGUGGGGAGCAAACAGG
This 254-nucleotide ribosomal RNA is filed under the name uncultured bacterium. RNAcentral describes it as "partial 16S ribosomal RNA". It matches the Rfam family "Bacterial small subunit ribosomal RNA", at positions 524 to 776 of the family's 1533-position model. The record is from RNAcentral.